Molecule: ribosomal RNA, 253 nt
Filed under: uncultured bacterium
Lineage: Bacteria
Description: partial 16S ribosomal RNA
Rfam family: Bacterial small subunit ribosomal RNA
Source: RNAcentral
UACGUAGGGGGCGAGCGUUGUCCGGAUUUAUUGGGCGUAAAGAGCGUGUAGGCGGCCAAGCAGGUCCGCUGUGAAAACUCGAGGCUCAACCUCGAGACGUCGGUGGAAACCGUUUGGCUAGAGUCCGGAAGAGGAGAGUGGAAUUCCCGGUGUAGCGGUGAAAUGCGCAGAUAUCGGGAGGAACACCCGUGGCGAAGGCGGCCCUCUGGGACGGUACUGACGCUGAGACGCGAAAGCGUGGGGAGCGAACAGG